GAUGAACGCUGGCGGCGUGCCUAAUACAUGCAAGUCGAGCGAACGGACGAGAAGCUUGCUUCUCUGAUGUUAGCGGCGGACGGGUGAGUAACACGUGGAUAACCUACCUAUAAGACUGGGAUAACCUCGGGAAACCGUAGCUAAUACCGGAUAAUAUUCUGAACCGCAUGGUUCAAAAGUGAAAGACGGUCUUGCUGUCACUUCUAGCUGGAUCUGAGCUGCAUUAGCUAGUUGGUAAGGUAAAGGCUUACCAAGGCAACUAGGCAUAGCCGACCUGAGAGAGUGGUCGGCCGCAUGAGAGCGUGAACACGGACCAGAGGCCUACGGUAGGCAGCAGAAGGGUAUCUUCCGCAGUAGUCGAGAGCAUUGCAGAACGGCGCCACGUGAGAGGUGGAAGUGUUCGGAGCGGGAAACUCUGUUAUUGGUGGUAAACAGAUGUGUAAGGAACUGAACACAGCGUGACGGUACCGAGUCAGAAAGCCACGGCUAACUACGUG
RNAcentral lists this ribosomal RNA (497 nucleotides) under uncultured bacterium. RNAcentral describes it as "partial 16S ribosomal RNA". It matches the Rfam family "Bacterial small subunit ribosomal RNA", at positions 28 to 507 of the family's 1533-position model. The record is from RNAcentral.